UAAAAUAUAAUAUUAAGUUCAAGAUUUUGAUAUAGACAACAUUAGACGGCAAGAACAUGUUUAUUAAUGUUUUCUGGUCUCGUGUUAUUACAUGACAUUUAUUUGUGUACAAAUUGAAAAUGCCAGAAAGUGAUAGGAUUUACAUUUUAAGCCAUGAUGGAAAUAACUAUAUAUAUGUGGUCAAUAUACAUUUUAGUUUCAUCACUGGUCUUUAACGUCAGUUUUUAUCCGUACAAAAUGCUAACUCACAGUAGAUAUUAAAUAUUAAACUCUAUAUUUAUUAUUGCCAUAUACAUAUAAUAAGUUCAUGGUUUUAAUAAAGACAAUAUAAAAUGGCAAGAACAUGCUUAUUAAGGUUUCUGCACACGUGUUGUUAAAUGGCAUUUAUUUGUGUAAAAUUUAAAAAUGUCAGCGAGUGAUAGGAUAUUUUAGUAUCAUCACUAAUUUCAUUUGCGUCAUACCAGCACCCCCACAAAUUGCACACUUAUAUUUCUACAAACAAAAUAGAUAUAAUAUCUUAAAUCCCAUAAAUAUAUUAAUAUUUGUAUAUAUAUAUUUGCAUUGCCAUAUAAUUAUAAUUAUUUCACGCCUAUUUUGCUGUAGGAUUUCCUGUGUUAUCCCGUCAUCGUUACGUCACGGCUUAUCAUUUUUUGUUUGUCUGGUUAAACGCCUGUCAAAAUAGUUAUGAGGGAGGUUAACCCUAACGAUGUCUAUUAAAGUGUACUUCUAUAUGAAAAAAUAAACACGAGGUCGUUGUUCGAUGAUAAUUUAUUAUUUUUAUCUCAUAUCAAAGUUUGAACUUUAACAUCGCCUGAUUUUUGUUUAUUCACAAUCUGUAUUUACAUUUGCUGUGUAAAUUUAUAUUAAUGAUUCAAACCCCGUUAUUUGACAUUGGGCAUGUUAUUGGAUGCAAAUGGUUUGGGUUGUUGAUUGGUUGAAGCAUGGAUCUGAAAAUUUCCUUUUCGAAAAAAAUACUUUUUUGUGAAUUUUCUAAUAAAGUCACUUUAGAGAAUGGACGACCUUUUAACAUCGAAUGGGAUUCCAUUCAAUUUACUUAACAGUUAAUACGAACUAUAAAAAAUGGCAAAGAAUAAAAACACAAAAAGCAGGUGCAGGUGCAAUAAGGUUUGCCUCCUUAUGGCGUAGAAUAUACUUUUCUGAAAUAUUUAUGAAGGAUUACAUGUAUUCACAAAGCCUUUACAAAUUGUAUACUAAAGACCUUUCUUUUUGCAAACAUGGUUAAUCAAUUUUACGCGUGCCGCUAUUUAAGUCACCUUUCACUGGUCUGUUGGUUGGCCUGUUCUCGACAAGAUAUUUUACAUUUUCAAUUAUACUUUUAUCAGAUAUGAACUUCAUUUCUCUUGAAAUUUCAUAAAGCAUGUAAAUUUUAAAAUUAUGUGCAAAUAAACAUCAAAAGGGGGCCUGGAUCCACCUAGAAAAUACACUAGAAAGUUAUGUAUACUCUGAUAUAUUCUACCAACAAGUCAGUACUACUGCUGGUCUAUUUUAGUCCAUAGGGACUCACUUGUAUAUUAACCUUUGCCUCAGCAUUGACAAUGCUCAUUUACGUAUAUACUAUUUGAGAAUAUAUAUAGUUCUAAUCAAAUAGAUUUUAUAAAUGUUUCAUAAACUUGUGUUAACAAGGUGACCUGCGAUUGUUUGAGCUAUUUCUGAUGUUGUAUAUCCAUUCAUAUUGAAAAUGUAAAUAAUUUUGUAAUGAAUAAGUUCUUGUAUACAUAUCAAAUCAUGCAGAUGUGUCCUCCUGUUGAUUCUGCUUAUAUUAAACAUGUAGAGUCGUGUGUAAACUUUACUUGGUUCCAAAACAUAAACCUUCGCUUAAAGAUGCUUUCUAAAGAGGCGUGAAGUCCAAAGACGAAUGUUUUUUGUCCACGAUUAGAAAUACACUCGUUUCUGUAUUAUCUUUUUUAUAUUUAUCCAUCAUCUCAAUAUAACACUGCAAUAAAUAACAUAAAAGAUACAUUUGUUAUUUGUCACCUGAAUGGUGAUACAUACGCGUUCAUGUAACACCCCAUUGUCUCUAACAUAUUUAUAUUUAUACUCUACAAUGGGCGCCACGUCGGCGUCUUUUUUCAUUUGUGUGUGUUCUUUAAAAAUAUAUACAUUAAAGUAGAAUAACAAAUAUAUCCUAGGAAAAUUCAAAACAGAAAGUACAUAAUCAAACGGCAAUAUCAAAAGCUCAAAACACACCAAACGUAUGGAUAAUUACUGUAAUAUUCAAUACUUUUACAGGCACUUUCUUAUGUAGAAAAUAAUCGAUAAAACCUGGUUGUAUAGCUAGCUAAACCUCUCUCUUGUACAUGUAUGACAGUCACAUAAAAUUCCAUUAUAUUGCUAGCAAUUUCUUUUCCAUCAAACUGGGGAUCAGAAUAUUUUUUAGGUCAAAACCAUACACCACCUCAGUCCUUAAGUUAAAUGAGCGUUCCCUUAGAGAACAUUCACAAUAUAUUACGCCCACACUAUAUAUUCAUGAUCAUCUGUGCAAACAUUAUCUUUCUUGAUUUAAACACUUUUGCUAAAUUUGUCAAAGAAGCUGUAUUAAAAGCACUAAAACCUACUUGACGUAGCGCGAACUAUGCAUGAGAUUACAGUUUAUGUAUGAUAUUAUGAAUCUUAUUUAUCCUGAUGGGAAGACACCACUAUCGUGAGGUCUAUGCCCGUAGCACCUGAGCACAAUUUAAAUUUAGAAAGAAAUCACUAUGUGUCUGAUGUUGCUAAUUUUGAACUGUUUGAGUGCGUGUUUUAGUAUAUCAAAUCUAAAAACGUCGUCCUUGUCUGCGUUACACUAAGUUAAUCCGCAAUUUCUUCAAAACGUUAAUCUGAAAUUCUUAUAUUAGCAAAAAUACAGAACUCAACUUAACUCUCACAGAUUCUUAUACAAGAUAUGAA
RNAcentral lists this long non-coding RNA (2907 nucleotides) under Mytilus galloprovincialis (Mediterranean mussel). The record is from RNAcentral. Lineage: Eukaryota; Metazoa; Mollusca; Bivalvia; Mytilida; Mytilidae.